UUUUUGGCGGGAAGCUGAGGACCCAGAGAAAGGACUGAGGGGAGCUGGCCUCUUACAGUUGCUCUGGUGUGAAGGAGGGCCUGCUGCCACCUCGCCAAGCCCGCUGGUGAACCCGCUGAUGCCGAGGCCACCUGCCUGAUUCUUGAUCGCAGACUUGAGCUCGUGAUUCUCUCGAAUAAGCCGCACCAGCUUCUUGAGUUCCUCAUUUUCCCGCACCAGCCUCUCUAUCUGAUGCCGAAGCCCCUCAUAAUUGUAGGUUACCUUCAAUUGCAUGUGGGCGUCAUCCAUUCAGUUGAAGAACUUAAGAGCAAAAAGACCUGAGGUUUUCUGGGGAAGAAGGAAUUUUGCCUCAAGACUGUAACAGAAAUCCUGCCCAAGUUUCCAGCCUGCCCUACACAUUUCAGACUUGCCGGCCCCCACAACUGUAUGAACCAAUUCCUUAAAGUAAACCUAUUAAUAUAGAAUAACUCUGA
Long non-coding RNA from Lemur catta (Ring-tailed lemur), 473 nucleotides. RefSeq lists it as uncharacterized. Lineage: Eukaryota; Metazoa; Chordata; Mammalia; Primates; Lemuridae. The record is from RefSeq and is a predicted model, not a curated record. The transcript has 3 exons.